This 230-nucleotide RNase P RNA is filed under the name Citrobacter amalonaticus. Its description in RNAcentral is "partial RNase P RNA component class A". It matches the Rfam family "Bacterial RNase P class A", at positions 130 to 367 of the family's 367-position model. From Rfam's summary of the family: Ribonuclease P (RNase P) is a ubiquitous endoribonuclease, found in archaea, bacteria and eukarya as well as chloroplasts and mitochondria. Its best characterised activity is the generation of mature 5'-ends of tRNAs by cleaving the 5'-leader elements of precursor-tRNAs. Cellular RNase Ps are ribonucleoproteins. The record is from RNAcentral. Lineage: Bacteria; Pseudomonadati; Pseudomonadota; Gammaproteobacteria; Enterobacterales; Enterobacteriaceae.
AUGGCCCACGCAAGUGGGAUCAGGUAAGGGUGAAAGGGUGCGGUAAGAGCGCACCGCGCGGCUGGUAACAGUCCGUGGCACGGUAAACUCCACCCGGAGCAAGGCCAAAUAGGGGUUCAUAAGGUACGGCCCGUACUGAACCCGGGUAGGCUGCUUGAGCCAGUGAGCGAUUGCUGGCCUAGAUGAAUGACUGUCCACGACAGAACCCGGCUUAUCGGUCAGCUUCACCA